RNAcentral lists this transfer RNA (87 nucleotides) under Clostridia bacterium. RNAcentral's name for it is "tRNA-Leu". It matches the Rfam family "tRNA". Rfam says of the family: Transfer RNA (tRNA) molecules are approximately 80 nucleotides in length. The record is from RNAcentral. Lineage: Bacteria; Bacillati; Bacillota; Clostridia.
GCGAACAUGGUGGAAUAGGCAGACACGCCAGCUUGAGGGGCUGGUCGAAGCAAUUCGGUGCAGGUUCAAGUCCUGUUGUUCGCACCA